This 1000-nucleotide ribosomal RNA is filed under the name Weissella cibaria. Its description in RNAcentral is "bacterial SSU rRNA". It matches the Rfam family "Bacterial small subunit ribosomal RNA", at positions 51 to 1016 of the family's 1533-position model. The record is from RNAcentral. Lineage: Bacteria; Bacillati; Bacillota; Bacilli; Lactobacillales; Lactobacillaceae.
AUGCAUGCAGUCGAACGCUUUGUGGUUCAACUGAUUUGAAGAGCUUGCUCAGAUAUGACGAUGGACAUUGCAAAGAGUGGCGAACGGGUGAGUAACACGUGGGAAACCUACCUCUUAGCAGGGGAUAACAUUUGGAAACAGAUGCUAAUACCGUAUAACAAUAGCAACCGCAUGGUUGCUACUUAAAAGAUGGUUCUGCUAUCACUAAGAGAUGGUCCCGCGGUGCAUUAGUUAGUUGGUGAGGUAAUGGCUCACCAAGACGAUGAUGCAUAGCCGAGUUGAGAGACUGAUCGGCCACAAUGGGACUGAGACACGGCCCAUACUCCUACGGGAGGCAGCAGUAGGGAAUCUUCCACAAUGGGCGAAAGCCUGAUGGAGCAACGCCGCGUGUGUGAUGAAGGGUUUCGGCUCGUAAAACACUGUUGUAAGAGAAGAAUGACAUUGAGAGUAACUGUUCAAUGUGUGACGGUAUCUUACCAGAAAGGAACGGCUAAAUACGUGCCAGCAGCCGCGGUAAUACGUAUGUUCCAAGCGUUAUCCGGAUUUAUUGGGCGUAAAGCGAGCGCAGACGGUUAUUUAAGUCUGAAGUGAAAGCCCUCAGCUCAACUGAGGAAUUGCUUUGGAAACUGGAUGACUUGAGUGCAGUAGAGGAAAGUGGAACUCCAUGUGUAGCGGUGAAAUGCGUAGAUAUAUGGAAGAACACCAGUGGCGAAGGCGGCUUUCUGGACUGUAACUGACGUUGAGGCUCGAAAGUGUGGGUAGCAAACAGGAUUAGAUACCCUGGUAGUCCACACCGUAAACGAUGAGUGCUAGGUGUUUGAGGGUUUCCGCCCUUAAGUGCCGCAGCUAACGCAUUAAGCACUCCGCCUGGGGAGUACGACCGCAAGGUUGAAACUCAAAGGAAUUGACGGGGACCCGCACAGCGGUGGAGCAUGUGGUUUAUUCGAGCACGCGAGACUUACAGUCUUGACAUCCCUUGACACUCAGAGAUGGAGCGUUC